UCACAUCGUCGGUCUUACUUUACUUGUCAUAUGUUCGUUUAUAAAAUAACAUCUGUUUAUUAUGGUCUUGUGGACUUUCUUCACAUCGUCGGUCUUACUUGUCAUAUCGUUUAAACAUCUGUUCGUUAUAUCGGUUUACGGUUUCGUCGGUUUUCCGUUAUCGUUCACUACAUCGACUGUUCGAAAUAAUUUCGUUCCUCCAUCGUUUUUUCUAAUUCGGCCAUCGUUUUGUUUGUUCGAAAAUUUUCGGGAAAUAGUGCGAGAUGUGUGAAUUUGAUUAUCAAAGAUAUUUAUAAAAUGUGUUAUUAUUGUAAGUUUUGUGAAAACAGUGCGGGUUGUCCACUUCCAUGGCAAUUUGGUUCACGAGUGUUUGUUAAUUCUAUAAGCUAAUGUUUCCUUAAACAUGGACUUCUCGCUAUAUUGUGACAAUUGGUUUUCAUUCCUUUGAAUUUUGAACAUAACCUAUUUUCCAUAUUUUCCAUAUCCAUUCUCAUUCUGGUUUUGUAUUCUUUGUCAACUCUUCAAUAGAAGGAAUCGAAAUUGAUAUUGAAGACAUUCUGGUUUUGUUCUGUUCGAAAUUGAUAUUGAGGACAAUCUUCCCCACUUGGUGUUGGAUGAAAGGGGAUGGGAUUGUAACAACUAAAAUUGCCUGUGUCAGAAGUCUUCUCAAACUCUUUCAACAUUGAAAAAUGUAUGCACCGUAAAAGAAUUGGAGCAGGGUUCGAUUUGCCUGUCCAGCAUCAGAAGUCUUCACAAACUCUGACAAAAUUGAAAAAUGUAUGCACCAUGAGGAAUUGAAGCGUGGUUUGAUUUGCCUGUUCAGCGUCAGGUCUUCUCAAACUCUGGCAUCGUUGAAAAAUGUAUGCACCAUAGAGGAAUUGGAGCGUGGUUUGAUUUGCCUGUUCAGCGUUAGGUCUUCUCAAACUCUGACAUCGUUGAAAAACAUAUGCACCGUGGAGGAUAUGCAUUGGAGUGGGGUUUGAUAAUAAAUGAACCACCUCGCGGUCAUACUAAAAUGGAUGAAUCUCUCUCCCAAUUUAUUGAAUUUCAUCACUAUCCCUGCUUCCAACUGGAUAGAAGAAGAGGAAAUGCUGAAGAGGAAAAAGGGUACGAUGUCCUGAACAACAAGAUUUUUGGCUCUGAUAGAAUGGAAUCAACAUUGACAUCAAGGACAAUCUUUCACACUUGAUGCUACAUGAAAAGAAUGGGAUUGUGUCGGGGCCAGGCGGCUGGGAAAGUCUCCCAAAUUCGUCCAGCGUCAGAAGAUUUCUCAAACAAAUAGGAAAAAAAAUUGUACAUCCGUCCCACCAUCAGCAUUACGGCUACCUCAUCUACAAUUUAUGCAAAAUUCUCAGGAGUUUCUAUGGUGCAAUCUAACCUUGCUUGAUGGAAAU
Venturia canescens is the source of this 1394-nucleotide long non-coding RNA. RefSeq lists it as uncharacterized. The transcript has 3 exons. Lineage: Eukaryota; Metazoa; Arthropoda; Insecta; Hymenoptera; Ichneumonidae. The record is from RefSeq and is a predicted model, not a curated record.